AUUGAACGCUGGCGGCAGGCCUAACACAUGCAAGUCGAGCGGAUGAAGGGAGCUUGCUCCUCGAUUCCGCGGCGGACGGGUGAGUAAUGCCUAGGAAUCUACCUGGUCGUGGGGGAUAACGUCCGGAAACGGGCGCUAAUACAGCAUCCGUCCAGAGGGUGAACGUGGGGGAUCUUCGGCCAUCACGCUAUCUGAUGUGCCUAAGUCGGAUUAGCUAGUCGGUUGGGUAAAGGCCUACCAAGGCGACGAUCCGUAACUGGUCUGAGAGGAUGAUCAGUCACACUGGAACUGAGACACGGUCCAGACUCCUACGGGAGGCAGCAGUGGGGAAUAUUGGACAAUGGGCGAAAGCCUGAUCCAGCCAUGCCGCGUGUGUGAAGAAGGUCUUCGGAUUGUAAAGCACUUUAAGUUGGGAGGAAGGGCAGUAAAUUAAUACCUUGCUGUUUUGACGUUACCAACAGAAUAAGCACCGGCUAACUUCGUG
RNAcentral lists this ribosomal RNA (484 nucleotides) under uncultured bacterium. Its description in RNAcentral is "partial 16S ribosomal RNA". It matches the Rfam family "Bacterial small subunit ribosomal RNA", at positions 30 to 507 of the family's 1533-position model. The record is from RNAcentral.